UCAAGUGAAUAAGUGCAUGUGGUGGAUGCCUUGGCGAUUACAGGCGAUGAAGGACGUUGUAGCCUGCGAUAAGCCGCGGGGAGCUGGCAAACAAGCUUUGAUCCGCGGAUGUCCGAAUGGGGAAACCCACCCGCAAGGGUAUCGCUGACUGAAUCCAUAGGUCAGCGAGGCGAACGUGGCGAACUGAAACAUCUAAGUAGCCACAGGAAAAGAAAUCAACCGAGAUUCCGAAAGUAGUGGCGAGCGAAAUCGGAGCAGCCUGUGCGUGAUAGUCGAUUGGCUAGUGGAACGGUAUGGAAAGGCCGGCCAUAGAGGGUGAUAGCCCCUUACACGAAAGCGAAUCGGUGGUACUGAGCGUACGACAAGUAGGGCGGGACACGUGUAAUCCUGUCUGAAGAUGGGGGGACCAUCCUCCAAGGCUAAAUACUCGUAAUCGACCGAUAGUGAACAAGUACUGUGAAGGAAAGGCGAAAAGAACCCCGGGAGGGGAGUGAAAUAGAUCCUGAAACCGCAUGCAUACAAACAGUCGGAGCCUCGCAAGGGGUGACGGCGUACCUUUUGUAUAAUGGGUCAGCGACUUACGUUCAGUGGCAAGCUUAACCAGAUAGGGGAGGCGCAGGGAAACCGAGUCCGAAUAGGGCGCCAUAGUCGCUGGGCGUAGACCCGAAACCAGGUGAUCUAUCCAUGGUCAGGAUGAAGGUUGGGUAACACCAGCUGGAGGUCCGAACCGACUAAUGUUGCAAAAUUAGCGGAUGAACUGUGGAUAGGGGUGAAAGGCUAAUCAAACCUGGAAAUAGCUGGUUCUCCCCGAAAACUAUUUAGGUAGUGCGUCAUGUAUUGCUCCAGGGGGUAGAGCACUGUAAUGGUUGUGGGGGCCAUCGCGGCUUACCACGCCAUAGCAAACUCCGAAUACCUGGAAGUAUGAGCAUGGCAGACAGUCGCCGGGUGCUAACGUCCGGCGGCAAGAGGGAAACAACCCAGACCUACAGCUAAGGUCCCAAAGUGUGGCUAAGUGGGAAACGAAGUGGGAAGGCUAAAACAGUCAGGAUGUUGGCUUAGAAGCAGCCAUCAUUUAAAGAAAGCGUAAUAGCUCACUGAUCGAGUCGUCCUGCGCGGAAGAUGUAACGGGGCUAAGCCAUGCACCGAAGCUUAGGCUGCACUCUCUGAGUGCGGGGUAGGGGAGCGUUCUGUAAGCCUGUGAAGGUGUCUCGUAAGGGAUGCUGGAGGUAUCAGAAGUGCGAAUGCUGACAUGAGUAGCGUUAAAGCGGGUGAAAAGCCCGCUCGCCGUAAGCGCAAGGUUUCCUACGCAACGUUCAUCGGCGUAGGGUGAGUCGGCCCCUAAGGUGAGGGCGAAAGCCAUAGCUGAUGGGAAGCUGGUUAAUAUUCCAGCACCGAUUUCUAGUGCGAUGGGGGGACGGAUCGUGGAAGGUUGUCCGGGGGUUGGAAGUCCCGGUUCCUGACCUGUAGGUGUCUGGUAGGUAAAUCCGCCAGGCGUAUGCCGAGGGGUUGGGACGAGCGAGCUUGCUCGCGAAGCAACUGGAAGUGGUUCCAAGAAAAGCCUCUAAGCUUCAGCUAGAAACGACCGUACCGCAAACCAACACUGGUGCGCGAGAUGAGUAUUCUCAGGCGCUUGAGAGAACUCGGGAGAAGGAACUCGGCAAAUUGACACCGUAACUUCGGAAGAAGGUGUGCCUUGGUAGCUUGAGUGUGAACAACACAAGGGCAAAGAGGUUGCAAAGAAUAGGUGGCUGCGACUGUUUAUUAAAAACACAGCACUCUGCAAACACGAAAGUGGACGUAUAGGGUGUGACGCCUGCCCGGUGCCGGAAGGUUAAGUGAUGGGGUGCAAGCUCUUGAUCGAAGCCCCGGUAAACGGCGGCCGUAACUAUAACGGUCCUAAGGUAGCGAAAUUCCUUGUCGGGU
RNAcentral lists this ribosomal RNA (1923 nucleotides) under human oral metagenome. Its description in RNAcentral is "bacterial LSU rRNA". It matches the Rfam family "Bacterial large subunit ribosomal RNA", at positions 3 to 1977 of the family's 2925-position model. The record is from RNAcentral.